AGUGAACGCUGGCGGUAGGCCUAACACAUGCAAGUCGAACGGCAGCACAGUAAGAGCUUGCUCUUACGGGUGGCGAGUGGCGGACGGGUGAGGAAUACAUCGGAAUCUACUUUUUCGUGGGGGAUAACGUAGGGAAACUUACGCUAACACCGCAUACGACCUACGGGUGAAAGCAGGGGAUCUUCGGACCUUGCGCGAUUGAAUGAGACGAUGUCGGAUUAGCUAGUUGGCGGGGUAAAGGCCCACCAAGGCGACGAUCCGUAGCUGGUCUGAGAGGAUGAUCAGCCACACUGGAACUGAGACACGGUCCAGACUCCUACGGGAGGCAGCAGUGGGGAAUAUUCGACAAUGGGCGCAAGCCUGAUCCAGCCAUGCCGCGUGAGUGAAGAAGGUCUUCGGGUUGUAAAGCCCUUUUGUUAGGAAAGAAAAGCAGCAGGUGUAUACCCCGCUGUUCUGACGGUACCCAAACAAUAAGCACCGGCUAACUUCGUG
RNAcentral lists this ribosomal RNA (492 nucleotides) under uncultured bacterium. RNAcentral's name for it is "partial 16S ribosomal RNA". It matches the Rfam family "Bacterial small subunit ribosomal RNA", at positions 29 to 507 of the family's 1533-position model. The record is from RNAcentral.